This is a non-coding RNA of Kogia breviceps (pygmy sperm whale), 777 nucleotides long. Lineage: Eukaryota; Metazoa; Chordata; Mammalia; Artiodactyla; Physeteridae. The record is from RefSeq and is a predicted model, not a curated record.
GCGGCACCGACACGACAGGUGGAAUUUCCUGCUCUGCCGGCUCCCGGCCGGACCUUCGGUUCCAGCCUCGCGGCGCCCGCCCCGGUUCCGGCGGCCCGGAGGUGCCCUGUCCCGGCGCUCCUGCCCCUCGGGCCUUUCCCUGGCCUGGAAGGGGGCUUAUCUCGGUCCCUGAACAAUUCCGCGCUGUCCGUGCACAUUGGGCAAGGAAGCAGCGGCGCAGGCUCUGAGUGGGUGGUUUGGGCCCAGGGAAGGGAUGUUUCCAGGGGGCUUUGGAGCCCUAGCGUCCUUGGCCUCUGCAGCAAUUUGUUUUUGUCUUGCUGGUCAGAAGGCAAUGGAGGACCUGUGCAGAGGGCAACUGGGAAACCAGAGCUUCGGUUGCCAUGGAGCCUGGAGCUUAGGACUCCAAGCAACUAUAUGCGAAAAACGCCUAGUUUACAGAUGACAACACUGAGAUUCAGAGGGCUUGCAUAAUGGCCCAAAGGCAGAGGCACAGCAAGAGUUCAGACCUAGAUCUGUGCAACUUCAAAGCUUAUAGCCUUAACCGCAAAGCCAUUGUACAGCUGUAUGCCAAAGACAGGGUGAUUGACGCACAGCCCAGCAAAAUCCUAGAACACAUCGUUCAACAGAGUACUGAGAACCAGGUGCCAACACGAAUCCACUAAAGACCUCUCACACCACACUCGUCUGGUUUUUCCUCUUGAUGAGGUUACUCACCUGAUAGACCAGAAGACCGGCUGGAGAUGGGAUUUCGACAGGCUUUGAAAAAUGUAGCUUUGU